Molecule: ribosomal RNA, 253 nt
Filed under: uncultured bacterium
Lineage: Bacteria
Description: partial 16S ribosomal RNA
Rfam family: Bacterial small subunit ribosomal RNA
Source: RNAcentral
UACGGGGGGAGCAAACGUUGUUCGGAAUCACUGGGCGUAAAGGGCGUGUAGGCGGCUGAAUAAGUGGGAUGUUAAAUCCCCCGGCUCAACCGGGGACCUGCAUCUCAUACUGUUCAGCUCGAGCACAUCAGAGGAGACUGGAAUUCCCGGUGUAGCGGUGGAAUGCGUAGAUAUCAGGAGGAACACCUGUGGCGAAGGCGGCUUUCUGGGCCUUACCUGACGCUGAGACGCGAAAGCGUGGGGAGCGAACAGG